RNAcentral lists this long non-coding RNA (3102 nucleotides) under Lynx pardinus (Iberian lynx). Lineage: Eukaryota; Metazoa; Chordata; Mammalia; Carnivora; Felidae. The record is from RNAcentral.
GCGCGCUCCCUCCCGGAGCGCUGGAGACAGAUAUGCAAGAUGGCAGAGGAGGGGGAAAGCCAAUAGAAAAGGGAUAUUGCACCUACUUGUGGCCAGUUUCCUUGCCCUGCCUUUGGAUCUCAUGCUGUGCCCAGUCCUGCAGCCGCUGGUGUGUGGUUGGGGUUUUUUUUUCUUGGAUCUUUUCCUUCUUUUGCUUUCCCUCUCGCUCCCUCCCUCGCUUCUCUCUCUCUCUCUCUCUCUCUCAUACACACACACACACACACACACACACACACACACUUACACACACUCACUCUCUGUCUUUCCCUCUUUCACUCUCUCUCCCUCCCUCUCUCCCUUUCUCUCAAUCCACACUCGCUAUCUCUCCAGCAUUGUCAGUUCGGACACCUUCGCACAUGCGCGCUAGACGCCCCUCCAACAUCUCAGCGCCGCCAAAAAAAGUUUGGAGCGAUUUAUCACUUUGAUUUGGAGAUCUUGUCAGAUGGCAAUCGCCGAGGAGGCGGAGAAAGGGAGCCACGGGGAGGGCGGCGGGGGGCGGGGAGCGAGCACAGGGAACCAGAGGGGAGCAGACACCUCGCCCCCAAAAAAGGCGGGGGGGGGGGGGGGGAAAUAAAAAGACUAGGGCAAAGGACUGAUUUCGUGUUGGAAUCACCUAUAAGCCUGUAUCAUUACUAUUAUUGUUUUUCCCACCAUAAAUUGCAGGAAAUUUUCUAUACAUCCACGGACAAAACAAGAAGUGGGGCUUUUAAAACCUUUUUCCAUAUUAAAGAACUAGAAGGACAGGACUCUUAAAUGAUCCAGGAGAAAGUGAGAAUCAUCCUGAACUUCAGGAAAUCUGCUGCCGCCGCUCUUACUGCUACUGAAGCUAUUUCGGCUUGUGCUUUCGGAGUUGAAAGUAGAACAAGUAACUGUUUUCUUUCUCGAUGUUAAGUAUACUACCAAUACUUGCCAUUCUUGGAACAUUUCAGUGGUCUAUUCCCAUCAAGUAGUAAUGAUCACCUUUGAUUCCCAGGUCCGGGCAGGCUCGGGCAUUUAACAUCCAAGACCUCCUGCUUCCCUAAGGUCGGCCGUCACCUUCCGGCCUCCCCCACCGCUGCCCCCAUCUCCGGUUGCCCCAGCUCUGCCUGCCUGCCAUUUUCACUCAUUUGCUUAAACCCACAACCUUUAGGGUCAUAAGAAAGGGGGGGGGGUCCUUUCCCACCCUUAAAAAAAUAAAUUGUUGGAAUUUGCUUUAAUUACAGGAUUUACCAAGGAAGUGGGCACAUAGAAAUGGGGAAAUCCUAAAGGGGCCAGCUGUGUUCAAGGUAUGAAUCAAUCUCAACUACGUAUAGAUUUUCUCUUGGUACAACUGCCUUGCAUUAAACAGUUUUGUUCAAUACCUUCCAUGAGCUAUUUAUGUCCCCAUUAAUAUCUGUUGCAAAUCCUGCCAGACACUGUAAAAGAAAAUUACAAUCUUUUCAGUCUCUGUGCUGCAACAGUACAUCCUUGAUGAUCCAGUUAGAGGAGAAGGAAAAGAAAAGCAAGUCCUGGGCAUGAGUUUAGGAAAGGCAGGGGAGGGGAAGAGAGAUCAUUGAGAAUACCCUGUUGUGCCAGUUGUCAUUUAUUGUCAAAACUGGGACUGGGAGUGUGAGCAAACAGCAAGUUUCAACCCUAAGAGGGGUUCAUCAAUGGUUCAUAGAAUCUCUCUGUUUGAGGAAAUCAAAAUUCAAAGGAUCACCCUGGCUAAGGAUGCCCACCAUUUCUUUCUCCGGAGUUGUGUAAUUCUGGGAGCAUGUGGCGGUAAGAUAGAGGUCCCUGGAGAACCAAGUAAAAGUCCCAAGAGAGACAGACGUGUAAUGUCGAAAUGUAAGGAAAAGAUAAAGGGAGCAAAUGAAGUAAUUACACAGAGCAGGAGUAAAACAACUUCCAAAAGAGAAGGUUCUGGUAAGCACCAGAUGGGCACAGGAGAACUCUAUCAUUCCCUCUGGACUGAAAAGGCAGGUGGGGGGAGGGGGGUCCAAUCCUGCUACAAUUCCUGUUGCCCUGUGGUGUACUUCUACACAGCAGAGGUGGGUGCAAAAACACCAGGCUUUGGGUACCCAGAGGUCUGUGAAUUCGAAUUCACUGGCUCUUCUCAGUUUAGAUGGAGGAGUGCCUUCCCUCAGAUGAACAGUUAAGUUUCCUCAGAAGAAAAGGCGAAGUUGGGGUUGAGAACCAUCAGAAAGGUAAUAGAAUCUCUAGGGAGAGAAACACUAGACUGGCCAUCAAGAUGUUCACAGAAGCUGCUUCUGAUCAGUUUAAGGACUCCCUGGGGACCCUCACCUUGGCCAAAAGACACAGAGAAGACACAGGAGGAUCAGGCCCCACCCAUCUGUCAGAACCUCAAUGGCCUCUUCCCGCAGGAGGGGAGAAGGAGACCCCUAGGCAGGAAGAGUGCCCUGCACAGUAGGAGGCUCAGCCUUGGACUUUUCAUUUCACCUCCUCAGCCCCGGGGAGCUUAAAAAAAUAAUAAAAAGGAGUUACUAUCCUCCCCUCCACUGCUCUCAUUAAUUCCUUCCAUCUCAUCCCCACGGGGGGUAUAUAUCCUGGUCCACUCGCGGAGAGGAGGUUAAGAGACGUGCCAGAGAAUUUUCUAGGAAACGAAGGUACCACGGAACCAGACCCAAGAUUAAAUAGAAAACCCACCUGUGAAGCUGCGGUGAUUGUUUCUGCUGAGAAAUUACAAACCACGUGGCGGGCUAGGGGUGGGGUAGGGGCUGUGAAGGGAACUGAAUAGGAUAUGAAGGACUCAAGAAAAUCAAAUCUGAGUCCCCAAACUUAAAGAUCCGUCAACUUUUCUAGACGGCGAAGGGCAAGAGGAUGAGGCGUCGCUGGAACACCCUCCCCUUCUCGUUUUUAAAGUCCCUGGGGUCGCGGCCGCCUCUGCGAAUGCCUGGUCUUUCCAAGAGUUUCGGGACACGAGCAAAUCCAACCUCUUCCAACUGAAAUAAUAAACACAAACUCCUCUGUGCCCUAGGGCCAAAGCAUUGUGACUAGACAAGGCAUCAUUCUUUUUGUUGUUUUUUUAGUAAAGUAUUCGCAACAUCAUCACUUUUAUUUUCAAACCUGAAAGCUGGGUUUUCC